UACAUUUUCCCUAAGUCAAACUUGCAUAAGUUUGACAAACUAUAUAGAAAAUGUGCUAAGAUCUACAACACCAAAUACACGUACGAAAAUACAUUUCAUAAAGAAUCCCAUGAAACUAAUGUGGUGUUCUAGAAGUUAAUAUUUUUCUAUAGAUUUGGUCAAACUUGAACAAAUUUGACUUAGGAAAAACCCAA
RNAcentral lists this microRNA precursor (194 nucleotides) under Triticum aestivum (bread wheat). Its description in RNAcentral is "MIR1435 microRNA precursor family". It matches the Rfam family "MIR1435 microRNA precursor family". The record is from Rfam by way of RNAcentral. Lineage: Eukaryota; Viridiplantae; Streptophyta; Magnoliopsida; Poales; Poaceae.